RNAcentral lists this long non-coding RNA (7447 nucleotides) under Lactuca sativa (garden lettuce). Its description in RNAcentral is "long non-coding RNA (LSAT_LNC008669)". Lineage: Eukaryota; Viridiplantae; Streptophyta; Magnoliopsida; Asterales; Asteraceae. The record is from RNAcentral.
GACAAAACAUAAAUCAUAAGUUUUUAGAAUGUAUAAAACAGUUUAGCAACGAAGGAUACUUUGGAAUUAUUAAAUACUUUGUAUAAAUAUAGUGCAUGCAAAGUAUGACAAGAGUUUUCACAUAGUAGUACUAAAUCACAAGUGAUUCAUUUGAUAAAAACGAGUAAAGUGAAAUUUUAUGAAAUACACGAUAAUAAUCGUAUGUUUACUUGUAUUCCUCCCCUAAAAGAGUAUAAAAGCAUUUAAAAUUUAUUUAAACUGUGUUUGAAGGGGGUAUGAACUCACUUGAAAGUUUGAAGAUAGCGAGAUGGAAAACUGGGCAGAGUUUCGUGUCGGGAAACAGAUUUUUCUCGGGAUUCUCAGAAAUCUCGGGAGUAAAAUCGAUCUUCGGGACUUGAGCAAAAUGAUCAGGGCUUCGGGGUAGUGUGGGCAUGGAAAUCGAGGCAAUAUCGUGAGAGAAAUGAGAGAAAUGGGGUGAAAUUUCCGGAACCCUCGCAUCUCUAUUUAUAGUGGUCUGGGAAGCCUCGGUACGCGGGGCGUACUCGUGCGUCACCCGUGACCGAGUCCUCGACUGCUUCGCUUCGGAUGGGACUGAUCGCGUAGACUCGCAUAGGGGCGACGUGGACGGACCGAGACCAAGGCCUUCGCGUACGCGGGGCGUACGAGGCUACGCAGCGCGUAACUCGGAUGAGGACGCUGACUCCUCCUUCGGAUAUUACCAGAUUUUUGAAUUAAAUUUAUAUAUAAUUUAUUUAAUAAACUUCAAAAAAUCAUAUCUUCUUCAUACGAACUCCGUUUUCGAUGGUCUUUAUAUCCACGCGUAGGUGAGACUAUGCUCUACAACUUUCGUUUAGACUCCGUUGGCAAAUUAUGAAAUUAUUUUUAUUAUUUAUUUAUAAAAUAUCGUGAUUAAGGAAUUUCUUUAAAAAUUCAUAACUUCUUUAUCUGACGUCGGUUUUUGCCAGACUUUUUACCGCUGAAAUACCAUUGUCGAGACCUUCGAUUCUCGUUUAGGUCAUUCCGGCCAAAAGUCGCUCGAUCUCCGAUUCGAGUUUUUAGCUGUCUGCUGCUAAGCCGAACUUGGAAAAAUCUUAACUUCAAUAUACGAAGCCGGAUUUGGGCAUUCUUUUUACGUACGAUCCCGGUUUAAUGAUAUUAAACAUAGUAGGAAUUUAAAUAGAUACUUUUUGGGCAUUUUAUUAUCAAAGUUAAUUUUAUUAACUCCAAGGUGGUUACAAUACUUGACUUUUUAGGUCAUUACAAAGAGUUGAAAUAUCGGGUUGUUACAUCAUCCCCCCGUUAGAGGGAAUUUCGUCCCGAAAUUUUAAUACAAAAUAGAAGUCUUAGGGACUGAGGAAGAGGUGCGGAUACUUCUGUUGCAUUUGGUCUUCCCGUUCCCAUGUGAACUCGGGUCCUCUCUUAGCAUUCCAUCGAACCUUUACUAUUGGAAUGCGACUCUGUUUAGUUCGUUUAACUUCCCUAUCCAUGAUCUCGACGGGUUCUUCCACAAAGUUAAGAUUUUCGUUUAGCUCGAUUUCAUCGAGUGGAAUUACAAGUGUUUCGUCGGACAAACACUUUUUCAGGUUCGAUACGUGGAAUACUGGAUGUACUUUGUUAAGCUCGAUUGGAAGUCGGAGUUUGUAGGCCACUGGACCAACUCUUGAAAUGAUUUCGAAGGGUCCAAUGUACCUAGGAUUUAGCUUCCCACACUUUCCAAAGCAUAUCAUGCCCUUCCAGGGUGAGACCUUCAGUAGUACACGGUCGCCAAUCUGGAAUUCCAAGGGUUUACGUCUCUUGUCGGCAUAGCUCUUUUGCCUAUCCCUUGAGGACUUCAGUCGUUUUCGUAUUUGCACGAUCUUUUCAUUCGUUUCACUGAUGAUCUCCGGACCAGUGAGGGUGUUAUUAGGGACUAGACCUUUUUCCAAUUGUGUGUCGCCCACUUCCGUCCAGCACAGGGGUGAUCUGCACUUACGUCCGUAAAGGGCUUCGAAUGGAGCGGUCUUGAUACUAGUAUGGUAACUAUUGUUAUAAGAGAACUCGACCAAAGGCAAGUGAACAUCCCAUGCCUUGCCAAAGUCGAUUACACAUGCUCGCAACAUGUCUUCCAAGGUUUGGAUUGUCCUCUCACUCUGUCCGUCAGUUUGUGGGUGGUAUGCUGUACUCAUAUCCAACCUUGUUCCCAUGGAUUUUUGCAAUGAUUGCCAGAAUCUGGAAGUGAAUCUGCUGUCUCUAUCUGAGAUAAUGGACAUCGGUACUCCAUGAAGUCGUACGAUCUCCCGGAUGUAGGUUCUUGAUAGUUUUUCCAUCCUAUCAGUUUCCAUGAUCGGUAAGAAAUGAGCGGACUUGGUUAACCUGUCGACGAUCACCCAAAUAGUAUCUUGGCCACCCUGAGUUUUGGGCAGUUUUGUUAUAAAGUCCAUAGAAAUCUGCUCCCAUUUCCACUCAGGUAUUUCAGGAUGUUGGAGAAGACCUGAGGGUUUCUGGUGUUCUAUUUUUAUUUUGGCGCAAGUAAAACACUUGCUCACAUAGGUAGCAAUCUCCGCUUUCAUGUUUGGCCACCAGUAGAGUUGCUUGAGAUCUAGAUACAUCUUGUCUGACCCUGGGUGUACGGAGUAUGGAGUCCUGUGUGCCUCGCUCAUAACUACCUCUCUGAAUCCACCAAACUUGGGUGUCCAGAUCCGGUUCAUGAGGUAGCGUGCUCCGUCACUCUUGAUUUCUAAGUUCUUGUCCAUUCCCCUAAGGGCCUCACCUGUCACGUUUUCGGGUUUCAAGGCCUCUAUUUGAGCUUCCUUGACUUGCGCUGACAGGUGCGAAUGGAUCGACAUGGCUAAUGACUUCACUCUUCGGCCAGAGUACUCCUUUCGACUAAGGGCAUCGGCCACNUGGUCUGUAAAGAUAGUGCACUUGGUACCGUAUAGGUAGUGCCUCCAGAUUUUAAGAGCGAAGACCUCCGCUCCAAGUUCUAAGUCAUGAGUGGUGUAAUUGAUCUCAUGUGUUUUCAGUUGUUGUGAGGCAUAUGCAAUAACCUUUCCCCUAUGCAUUAGCGCACAGCCUAGUCCUUACUUCGAAGCGUCGCAAUACACCACAAAAUCUUCGGUCNNNNNNNNNNNNNNNNNNNNNNNNNNNNNNNNNNNNNNNNNNNNNNNNNNNNNNNNNNNNNNNNNNNNNNNNNNNNNNNNNNNNNNNNNNNNNNNNNNNNAAUGGUUUUCUAAAAGAUUUUCAUUUAAUUCAAAACUCUUACUUGAACUAUUUUAUCUAAAUUCACUUUAAACUGGUUUAUGAAGGAUUUCCAAAGGCUUUCAAACAUGUUUUUACAAAAGAAUACAAAUUGUGAUUUUCCUGAGUAUAAAGGUUUUUCAUUAAAGAUUCCCUUUUCGACGUAUACUUUACUUGUUAACUACUGCUGCUUCGCUUAUACUUAUUUUUAUACUCCUACUCUGUAACGCUUUCACUUAUACCUGAAGUCACUUAUACCUGAUGACGCUUAUACUUAUUCACACUCUUACUUAGUGAUACGAUUCUACUUCGCAUAUACUUGAGAUCGACUCUACUUCACUUAUACUCGAUACGCUCUUACUUCACUUAUUGUCGUCUCUACGUUGUGAUACGCUUAUACUUAUUCGACACUUAUACUUCACUUGCGACCACUCCUACUUCACUUGUUAGACACUCCUACUUCACGAGAAUCACUUCUACUUGACACAUACUCAAGCGUAGUUAGAUGUACGUCUGUGCUUGUAUAGAUGCAUAUAAAUAAUGAUUGAAGGACUUAGGAAGGCUUGUCCGCCCUAUUUCCUUUUCUUCGUUGAGAUGUGGUCUGGUGGGAUCGGAUGUCCAUCCGAAGGUCGUUUGAUUCAUUAGUUAUAUAUUAUGUAUACAAGCAUAGACAUAUGGGUUUACUUCAGUCAGUUCAGUUAUGAGUCUCUACCUCUAGUUCAACACUUACAUUAGAAACCCACUAUUUGGAAGUCUCUACCCACUAUUUGGGAUGCAUCUUCAGGACACGGCCUUCUCCGUCGUCUAGUUGGUAACCAGAGUCUCCUGUAGGGAGAGCGGACAUUGUGUGUAUAGAUCUAUACGAGAUUGACAACCCAGCACCCAGACUGCUAGCUACAGUCCCGGCCUACCAAGCCAACGGGUGACAAAUGUCACAUCUUAGACGCUUGUAGGGCGUUUGGUACUCUAGUCAGUAUGGUACGAGUAUCCCGGGUUACCUUAUAAUUCUUUGGCUUUAAGGUAACGGUAUAUCUCCAGCUAUUUACACUGUAUGCUGGUAACUCAUUUUCAGAGUCACACUGUUUUGACUUUACAAGACAUAUCCUUCAUUUGAUACUGUCUGGGGUCUGUCUCCUUUGUUUUGACAACACAAGACGUAUCUUUCAUUUGAUGCUGUCUGGGGUCUGUCUCCACUGUAUUCACAGAAUCCACUGUAUUCACUGUGUUCACUGCGUUCACUGUUUUAGGCCUUACUAGUUGUACCAUUCAUUUGGUACCUUCUGGGGUAUGUGUCUCCACUUGUUAGACUGAACCAGGCGUAUCGUUCAUUCGAUACUCUCCUGGAGUCUAUGAUUCCUUUGCCUUAGUCAGCAGUCUUCACUGCUGAGGCAUAUGUUAUUUCCCUGUUGUCUCUUGCUUCUUUAAUAAUCAAAUUCAGUAUUUUGAUAAUGAUAGCAAAUAAGGGAAAACUACUUUUUACCACAUAACACUGACCAGUCUUGGUAGAAGACUGCUUUAAUAAAGAAAAUAUAGGAUUUUCUGGAAAGAACUCUAAUACACAGUAAACACUUGAACUACUACUUUUAUUAAAGUUAUUUGAGUAAAAACGUCACUAAAUCCUUAUGAACUCACCAGCAUUUGUAAAAAUGCUGAUACUCGCUUUUCAAAUAACUUGUAUUCUCAGGUCAGAAAUUAGACAGGUACAUCCCAGGAGCUGUUGAUGAAGAUAGCUUAGUACCUUGCUGUACUUAUUACAUUUGUCUGUAUUACUUUGAUGUAUUGUAAUGUAACCAUGUAAAACUAUUACUAUUAAUGCAAUGUUUUGUUGUACUUUGAUUACUAUAUGCAUGUGUUGUGAUACUUGACAUGACGUCAUCCACCCCAGAACGUUUCCACCGUUCCGGUUUUGGGGUGUGACAGUGUCCAACUUAGACGCUAUAAAAAUUUAUACUUUCAUAACAAGUGAUUCAUUUUCUAGGGAUUUCUAAACAGACGCGACACACUUUUAGAAAACUAUAAUAGGUAUAGUUUUACAAUAACAUUACAAAGUUUUACAUACUAGAAACACUAUUUUCAAGAAGUCACUUUCACAUACAAGAACAAANUAAACACUCGAACAAAAGUAUCACAAGAAGAACAAUAAUAAAAGUCUUCGGAUGUUGAGCACUACAGUCAAACCUGGGCAGUUAUGUAAUCAUAAGCUGGGAUAAAGGUAACCUGAUCAACUACAUUUAUCUGAGAUGCGAUGAAUGUGUGCUCGGGAGUGAUAGUGGUGUACGACAGGUCUGAAACUUACCAACUAGGAAUGCUAGAGCCAAACAUAAAGUUAAAAAUACUAUAGGAGUAUUUUAGAACGCUAAAAGAUCCACACUAAUUCCAGAAUCAUAUUCAGAAGAUAAGAAUCAAACAAGAAUUAAAAUACCAUAGGGGUAUUUUAGAAUACAUAAACAACCUUGCGUGAAUAACUAAAAAGAUCCUUAUUGAUAUACCUACAACUACAGAGGGUAUACUCCCAAGGUUAUAUAUAAUAAGGAUCCCAUAGGCUAAGAAUGUGUGGUUUCGCUCUAUUUCCUUUUCCUCGUUGGGAUGUGGUUCUAGAGUAGUAUCACAUAUUCGAAGGCCUAUCGGAUCCAAGCUAUAUAUGAUUUGUAUACCCUGUGUAAUCGUAGCAGGACUCGAUAUGGAUCAUACAGUGAAAUGUUAAUAAUCUCUUAGGAUUCUUUAGACAUAUCCAUUCUCGUGCGAACCCUGUAGAAAACCCUAUCCACUUCAGUGCUUGAAAGAAGAGUUGAUUCCAACCCCGAAGAGGUUCAUGGAGAAGAUUUCCUGUUCGGAAAUAAAUGAACUGGGUCGAGACUAUUGAAUGCACCAAGUGUCCAUAUUCUUUUAAGGACAGUGGUGAGAGAUUCGCCUAAAUUUCCGAGAUUCUAGUCACCCAUCAUGAAGUGGUGACACCCAGAGUUGGAAUCAGAAGGAAGGCGGAGUAGAAAUUCAAUAUGUCCAUUCGAGAAGAGAACCCUAGGAAACUACCCGAAGGAAACCAACGCCGAUUCCAGUCAAAGAUAACGAGGCAGACAGCGGGAGCCAGUACAUGAAACCCGAGAAUUGUCUUCUCCUCGUAUUCGUCACGAUAAUUCACCCUUAAAAUAAUACAAUUUAGUGAGUUAGUGGUUACACUACUCACCCUAUGUGUUAGGUAAAUCGUCGUUUCCCGUUGCCAGAUACACGAUUAGGGCGGAUCCCCGCAUCUCUAUUGAGAGAAUUUUAGCCAUCUGCCCUUAUGAGCCUCUCUUUCCGCAGUUUCGUUCUGAACUAUUCUCAAUUCUCUCCAGGCCGGAGAGUGAAACCUUCUCCAGUAUAAAGGUAACUUAGUAGGAACGACUCGCAUCUUAUGGCCUUUUCCGAUACUCAUACACUCACUUCGAUUACCAGGACUACAUCAUAGGGAUGUAGGUCGACACCCAGGCAACCGACAUCUGAGGCACGGGAAAAUUUAUGCCUAAUACGUUAAGGACAAAAAUGUCCAGGGUUAACCAUCGUCUCUCAUUACCUUGUAUUCCUUUCCGUGUAGGAAAACCAUGCCACCGAAGAAGCGUAACCAAUCCACAAGCAAGAAACCUACACUCUUAUUCGAUGAAGCUACGUUCCAAGCUGCAGUCUCAGCAGCCGUAGAAACUGUCAUGGCUCACCUGAAUGCUAACACCGCAAAUGUUAGCAAGGGCCCUGUCGGGAAUUCCGAUCCUGGCAAUGGACAGCAACAACCAACACUUUCAUACCCAGUCAUCCAAGAACCUCCACUGAACCCACUAAAGAGAAAACUCAAGAUAGAGGAAGGAAGUACCUCGGCUUAAGGACCUUCCGAAGGGAAAUGAGCUGAGGCGGUCUAUACCCCUGUCAUUCCUUCCCUCCCGACCUCAAGAAGACCGUACCUAGGAGACCUUCCNNNNNNNNNNNNNNNNNNNNNNNNNNNNNNNNNNNNNNNNNNNNNNNNNNNNNNNNNNNNNNNNNNNNNNNNNNNNNNNNNNNNNNNNNNNNNNNNNNNNAACUUGGAAAAAUCUUAACUUCAAUAUACGAAGUCGGAUUUGGGGAUUCUUUUUACGUACGAUCCCAGUUUAAUGAUAUUAAAUAUAGUAGGAAUUUAAAUAGAUACUUUUUGGGCAUUUUAUUAUCAAAGUUAAUUUUAUUAACUCCAAGGUGGUUACAAUACUUGACUUUUUAGGUCAUUACAAAG